GGCGUGCGACCUCUGACCUGUAUAGCAAGUCAUAGCCAAUCACAACUUAUCCAGAAACAAAACAGGGUGUUUGGAUCGACAGUUGAACAGUUUAAGUUGUGUUUCAGCUGCAAAAGUCUGCUUGUACUGAAGAGACUCACAGAGACCAAAAGUAAUGUUGCAUUCAGGUUGUCCGUUACAAUAAAGUCUUAAUCUAAUUAUUCCUGCAGCAGUUUCAUCACCGGUCCACUCAAUGAUUCAUUUACCAACUGGCAGAGCGACUGACUCAGCGGCCGUUUGAGGACAGUAGUUGCUAAAAAUGGCACAAUAAUAAUUUUCUGACUUUAAAACAAAGUCCCUGGACUGAAUAAUGUUUCAGAUCUCAAAUACAUUUAUCUGAGCUGUUGUAUCAC
Long non-coding RNA from Micropterus salmoides (largemouth bass), 392 nucleotides. RefSeq lists it as uncharacterized. Lineage: Eukaryota; Metazoa; Chordata; Actinopteri; Centrarchiformes; Centrarchidae. The transcript has 2 exons. The record is from RefSeq and is a predicted model, not a curated record.